Podarcis lilfordi (Lilford's wall lizard) is the source of this 74-nucleotide non-coding RNA. NCBI's taxonomy places the organism in Eukaryota, Metazoa, Chordata, Lepidosauria, Squamata, Lacertidae. The record is from the annotation of a GenBank genome assembly.
GUCUGGAUAGCUCAGUUGGUUAGAGCAUGGCACCGAUAACGCCAAGGUUGCAGGUUCGAUCCCUGUAAGGGACA